This 274-nucleotide ribosomal RNA is filed under the name uncultured bacterium. RNAcentral's name for it is "partial 16S ribosomal RNA". It matches the Rfam family "Archaeal small subunit ribosomal RNA", at positions 473 to 747 of the family's 1478-position model. The record is from RNAcentral.
ACACCAGCACCUCAAGUGGUCAGGAUGAUUAUUGGGCCUAAAGCAUCCGUAGCCGGCUCUGUAAGUUUUCGGUUAAAUCUGUACGCUCAACGUACAGGCUGUCGGGAAUACUGCAGAGCUAGGGAGUGGGAGAGGUAGACGGUACUCGGUAGGAAGGGGUAAAAUCCUUUGAUCUAUUGAGGACCACCUGUGGCGAAGGCGGUCUACCAGAACACGGUCGACGGUGAGGGAUGAAAGCUGGGGGAGCAAACCGGAUUAGAAACCCCAGUAGUCC